This 500-nucleotide ribosomal RNA is filed under the name uncultured bacterium. RNAcentral describes it as "partial 16S ribosomal RNA". It matches the Rfam family "Bacterial small subunit ribosomal RNA", at positions 899 to 1397 of the family's 1533-position model. The record is from RNAcentral.
ACUCAAAUGAAUUGACGGGGACCCGCACAAGCGGUGGAGCAUGUUGUUUAAUUCGACGCAACGCGAAGAACCUUACCUACGCUUGACAUACCAAGUUUGAUUUUCAGAGAUGAAUUUCUUCAGUUCGGCUGGCUUGGAUACAGGUGCUGCAUGGCUGUCGUCAGCUCGUGUCGUGAGAUGUUGGGUUAAGUCCCGCAACGAGCGCAACCCUUAUUGUUAGUUGCCAUCAUUUAGUUGGGCACUCUAGUGAGACUGCCGGUGAUAAGCCGGAGGAAGGUGGGGACGACGUCAAGUCAUCAUGGCCCUUACGCGUAGGGCUACAAACGUGCUACAAUGGUAGUGACAGUGGGCUGCGAGGUAGUGAUACCAAGCAAAUCCUAAAAAGCUAUCUCAGUUCGGAUUGUACUCUGCAACUCGAGUACAUGAAGUUGGAAUCGCUAGUAAUCGUGGAUCAGCAUGCCACGGUGAAUACGUUCCCGGGUCUUGCACACACCGCCCGU